GUUUGAUCCUGGCUCAGGAUGAACGCUGGCGGCGUGCUUAACACAUGCAAGUCGAACGAACCUUCGGGUUAGUGGCGGACGGGUGAGUAACGCGUGAGAAUCUGCCCUCAGGAGGGGGAUAACGGUUGGAAACGACCGCUAAUACCCCAUAUGCCUACUGGUGAAACGAAUUUCGCCUGAGGAUGAGCUCGCGUCUGAUUAGCUAGUUGGUGAGGUAAUGGCUCACCAAGGCUUCGAUCAGUAGCUGGUCUGAGAGGAUGAUCAGCCACACUGGGACUGAGACACGGCCCAGACUCCUACGGGAGGCAGCAGUGGGGAAUUUUCCGCAAUGGGCGAAAGCCUGACGGAGCAACGCCGCGUGAGGGACGAAGGCCUCUGGGCUGUAAACCUCUUUUCUCAAGGAAGAAGAUAUGACGGUACUUGAGGAAUAAGCCACGGCUAAUUCCGUGCCAGCAGCCGCGGUAAUACGGGAGUGGCAAGCGUUAUCCGGAAUUAUUGGGCGUAAAGCGUCCGCAGGCGGCUUUUCAAGUCUGCUGUUAAAGCGUGGAGCUUAACUCCAUCAUGGCAGUGGAAACUGAAAGGCUUGAGUAUGGUAGGGGCAGAGGGAAUUCCCGGUGUAGCGGUGAAAUGCGUAGAUAUCGGGAAGAACACCAGUGGCGAAGGCGCUCUGCUGGGCCAUUACUGACGCUCAUGGACGAAAGCCAGGGGAGCGAAAGGGAUUAGAUACCCCUGUAGUCCUGGCCGUAAACGAUGAACACUAGGUGUCGGGGGAAUCGACCCCCUCGGUGUCGUAGCUAACGCGUUAAGUGUUCCGCCUGGGGAGUACGCACGCAAGUGUGAAACUCAAAGGAAUUGACGGGGGCCCGCACAAGCGGUGGAGUAUGUGGUUUAAUUCGAUGCAACGCGAAGAACCUUACCAGGGUUUGACAUCCUGCGAACCUCUUAGAAAUUUGAGGGUGCCUUCGGGAAUGCAGUGACAGGUGGUGCAUGGCUGUCGUCAGCUCGUGUCGUGAGAUGUUGGGUUAAGUCCCGCAACGAGCGCAACCCACGUUUUUAGUUGCCAGCAUUUAGUUGGGCACUCUAGAAAGACCGCCGGUGAUAAACCGGAGGAAGGUGUGGAUGACGUCAAGUCAUCAUGCCCCUUACACCCUGGGCUACACACGUACUACAAUGCUACGGACAAAGGGCAGCAAACUCGCGAGAGCUAGCAAAUCCCAUAAACCGUGGCUCAGUUCAGAUCGUAGGCUGCAACUCGCCUACGUGAAGUAGGAAUCGCUAGUAAUCGCAGGUCAGCAUACUGCGGUGAAUACGUUCCCGGGCCUUGUACACACCGCCCGUCACACCAUGGAAGUUGGCCAUGCCCGAAGUCGUUACUCCAACCCUUGUGGAGGAGGACGCCGAAGGUGGGGCUAAUGACUGGGGUGAAGUCAUAACAAGGUAGCCGUA
Molecule: ribosomal RNA, 1446 nt
Filed under: uncultured bacterium
Lineage: Bacteria
Description: bacterial SSU rRNA
Rfam family: Bacterial small subunit ribosomal RNA
Source: RNAcentral